GACGAACGCUGGCGGCGUGCUUAACACAUGCAAGUCGAACGGAAAGGCCCUGCUUGCAGGGUACUCGAGUGGCGAACGGGUGAGUAACACGUGGGUGAUCUGCCCUGCACUUCGGGAUAAGCCUGGGAAACUGGGUCUAAUACCGGAUAGGAGCCAUUUUUAGUGUGAUGGUUGGAAAGUUUUUUCGGUGUAGGAUGAGCUCGCGGCCUAUCAGCUUGUUGGUGGGGUAAUGGCCUACCAAGGCGGCGACGGGUAGCCGGCCUGAGAGGGUGGACGGCCACAUUGGGACUGAGAUACGGCCCAGACUCCUACGGGAGGCAGCAGUGGGGAAUAUUGCACAAUGGGCGCAAGCCUGAUGCAGCGAAGCCGCGGGGGGGAUGACGGCCUUCGGGUUGGAAACUCCUUUCGCUAGGGACGAAGCUUUUUGUGACGGUACCUAGAUAAGAAGCACCGGCUAACUACGUG
Molecule: ribosomal RNA, 465 nt
Filed under: uncultured bacterium
Lineage: Bacteria
Description: partial 16S ribosomal RNA
Rfam family: Bacterial small subunit ribosomal RNA
Source: RNAcentral